UACGUAGGUGGCAAGCGUUGUCCGGAUUUAUUGGGUUUAAAGGGUGCGUAGGCGGCUUUGUAAGUCAGUGGUGAAAUAUGGCAGCUCAACUGUCAGGGUGCCAUUGAUACUGCAGAGCUUGAGUACAGAUGAGGUAGGCGGAAUUGACGGUGUAGCGGUGAAAUGCUUAGAUAUCGUCAAGAACACCGAUAGCGAAGGCAGCUUACUGGGCUGUAACUGACGCUGAGGCACGAAAGUGUGGGGAGCAAACAGG
Molecule: ribosomal RNA, 253 nt
Filed under: uncultured bacterium
Lineage: Bacteria
Description: partial 16S ribosomal RNA
Rfam family: Bacterial small subunit ribosomal RNA
Source: RNAcentral